This 173-nucleotide unclassified non-coding RNA is filed under the name soil metagenome. RNAcentral's name for it is "partial internal transcribed spacer 1". The record is from RNAcentral.
CAAGAAGCCGAAGGGCUACUUAAAACCAUCGCGAACUUAUCCAAGUUGCUUCGGCGGCGCGGCUCCCCUCACGGGGGACCGCAGCCCCCGCCUCUCAGGAGGUAAGGGGCAGCCGCCGGAAGUACGAAACUCUGUAUUAUAGUGGUAUCUCUGAGUAUAAAACAAAUAAGUUA